RNAcentral lists this ribosomal RNA (142 nucleotides) under uncultured bacterium. RNAcentral's name for it is "partial 16S ribosomal RNA". It matches the Rfam family "Bacterial small subunit ribosomal RNA", at positions 393 to 525 of the family's 1533-position model. The record is from RNAcentral.
AACGCCGCGUGCAGUGAUGAAGGCUUUCGGGUCGUAAAGCUGCUGUGCUGGGGGAAAGAAGUGUAUUGUGGUUAAUACCCAUGAUACUUGACGGUACCCCUGACGGAAGCACCGGCUAACUCCGUGCCACCGGCCGCUAAUA